This 228-nucleotide ribosomal RNA is filed under the name uncultured archaeon. RNAcentral's name for it is "partial 16S ribosomal RNA". It matches the Rfam family "Archaeal small subunit ribosomal RNA", at positions 23 to 246 of the family's 1478-position model. The record is from RNAcentral.
GCCACUACUAUUGGGGUUCGGCUAAGCCAUGCGAGUGGAGGGCGUCCCGCAAGGGAUGGCCCCGCAGACGGCUCAGUAACACGUCGUCAACCCACCUUAGGGUGGGGGACAACCUCGGGAAACUGAGGAUAAUCCCCCAUAGGCGGGGGAGGCUGGAAUGCGCCCCCGCUGAAAGCUCAGGCGCCCUAGGACGGGACGGCGGCCUAUCAGGUAGUUGGUGGUGUGACG